RNAcentral lists this ribosomal RNA (197 nucleotides) under uncultured bacterium. RNAcentral's name for it is "partial 16S ribosomal RNA". It matches the Rfam family "Bacterial small subunit ribosomal RNA", at positions 328 to 539 of the family's 1533-position model. The record is from RNAcentral.
ACGCUCGACACCUACGGGAGGCAGCAGUGGGGAAUAUUGCACAAUGGGGGAAACCCUGAUGCAGCGACGCCGCGUGAGCGAAGAAGUAUUUCGGUAUGUAAAGCUCUAUCAGCAGGGAANAAAAUGACGGUACCUGACUAAGAAGCCCCGGCUAACUACGUGCCACAGCCGCGGUAAUCUGAGCGGGCUGGCAAGGC